GACGAACCGUGCGAACGUUAUUCGGAAUCACUGGGCUUAAAGGGUGCGUAGGCGGGUUGCCAAGUCUGUGGUGAAAUCCUCCAGCUUAACUGGAGAACUGCCGUGGAUACUGGCGACCUCGAGGGGUGUAGAGGCUUGCGGAACUGUGCGUGGAGCGGUGAAAUGCGUUGAUAUGCACAGGAACUCCGGUGGCGAAAGCGGCGAGCUGGACACCUUCUGACGCUGAGGCACGAAAGCUAGGGGAGCGAACGGG
Molecule: ribosomal RNA, 253 nt
Filed under: uncultured bacterium
Lineage: Bacteria
Description: partial 16S ribosomal RNA
Rfam family: Bacterial small subunit ribosomal RNA
Source: RNAcentral